GCUGGGUGUGGUGGUGCACGCCUGUAAUCCCAGUGGCUUGGGAGGCUGAGGCAGAAGGAUCAAGAGUUCAAAACCAGCCUCAG
RNAcentral lists this small RNA (83 nucleotides) under Marmota monax (woodchuck). The record is from RNAcentral. Lineage: Eukaryota; Metazoa; Chordata; Mammalia; Rodentia; Sciuridae.